GAUGAAGAACGUAGCGAAAUGCGAUAAGUAGUGUGAAUUGCAGAAUUCCGUGAAUCAUCGAAUCUUUGAACGCACAUUGCGCCUUCUGGUAUUCCGGAAGGCAUGCCUGUUCAAGAGUCAUUAACAACCGUUUCGAUCCCUUUCUUUCAGAAAUUACAAAGAGGAAAAGGGUUUGGUUAUGGUGGAGGAGGGAAAGGGAGCGUUUAGCCUGUAAAAAAAGAGGCUGUGUUCCGCCUCCCCCCCAAAAUUGUACAGGCGGUCGUGUGCGCCCACGCAUCGAGGUGUUGUAAAAGCUGCCACGGCACUUUUCACCUGUGCAGUGCGAGAUUGGCCAGCCGGUUUAAAAACCCCUCCAAACAAUCAAAGGUUGACCUCGGAUCAGGUAAGGAUACCCGCUGAACUUAAGCAUAUCAAUAAGCGGAGGA
This 425-nucleotide unclassified non-coding RNA is filed under the name soil metagenome. RNAcentral describes it as "partial contains 5.8S ribosomal RNA, internal transcribed spacer 2, and large subunit ribosomal RNA". The stretch from base 1 to 120 matches the Rfam family "5.8S ribosomal RNA", at positions 35 to 154 of the family's 154-position model. The record is from RNAcentral.